CCAAAGCGACGAUCCGUAGCGGGUCUGAGAGGAUGAUCCGCCACACUGGGACUGAGACACGGCCCAGACUCCUACGGGAGGCAGCAGUGGGGAAUUUUGGACAAUGGGCGGAAGCCUGAUCCAGCCAUGCCGCGUGAGUGAAGAAGGCCUUCGGGUUGUAAAGCUCUUUCGGCCGGGAAGAAAUCGCAUGGGUCAAUACCCUGUGUGGAUGACGGUACCGGAAUAAGAAGCACCGGCUAACUACGUGCCAGCAGCCGCGGUAAUACGUAGGGUGCGAGCGUUAAUCGGAAUUACUGGGCGUAAAGCGUGCGCAGGCGGUUUGGUAAGUCAGAUGUGAAAUCCCCGGGCUCAACCUGGGAACUGCAUUUGAGACUGCCAAGCUGGAGUUUGGCAGAGGGGGUGGAAUUCCACGUGUAGCAGUGAAAUGCGUAGAGAUGUGGAGGAACACCGAUGGCGAAGGCAGCCCCCUGGGCCAAUACUGACGCUCAUGCACGAAAGCGUGGG
Molecule: ribosomal RNA, 504 nt
Filed under: uncultured bacterium
Lineage: Bacteria
Description: bacterial SSU rRNA
Rfam family: Bacterial small subunit ribosomal RNA
Source: RNAcentral